RNAcentral lists this ribosomal RNA (483 nucleotides) under uncultured bacterium. RNAcentral describes it as "partial 16S ribosomal RNA". It matches the Rfam family "Bacterial small subunit ribosomal RNA", at positions 28 to 507 of the family's 1533-position model. The record is from RNAcentral.
GACGAACGCUGGCGGCGUGCUUAACACAUGCAAGUCGAACGCUGAAGCUCAGCUUUUGUUGGGUGGAUGAGUGGCGAACGGGUGAGUAACACGUGAGUAACCUGCCUCCUUCUUUGGGAUAACGCCCGGAAACGGGUGCUAAUACUGGAUAUUCACUGGUCUUCGCAUGGGGGUUGGUGGAAAGGGUUUUUCUGGUGGGGGAUGGGCUCGCGGCCUAUCAGCUUGUUGGUGGGGUGAUGGCCGACCAAGGCUUUGACGGGUAGCCGGCCUGAGAGGGUGACCGGUCACAUUAGGACUGAGAUACGGCCCAGACUCCUACGGGAGGCAGCAGUGGGGAAUAUUGCACAAUGGGCGCAAGCCUGAUGCAGCGACGCCGCGUGAGGGAUGGAGGCCUUCGGGUUGUGAACCUCUUUCGCUCAUGGUCAAGCCGCAACAAUGGUUGUGGUGAGGGUAGUGGGUAAAGAAGCGCCGGCUAACUACGUG